AUUGAACGCUGGCGGCAGGCCUAACACAUGCAAGUCGAGCGGAUGAAGGGAGCUUGCUCCUGGAUUCAGCGGCGGACGGGUGAGUAAUGCCUAGGAAUCUGCCUGGUAGUGGGGGAUAACGUCCGGAAACGGGCGCUAAUACCGCAUACAUCCUGAGGGAGAAAGUGGGGGAUCUUCGGACCUCACGCUAUCAGAUGAGCCUAGGUCGGAUUAGCUAGUUGGUGGGGUAAAGGCCUACCAAGGCGACGAUCCGUAACUGGUCUGAGAGGAUGAUCAGUCACACUGGAACUGAGACACGGUCCAGACUCCUACGGGAGGCAGCAGUGGGGAAUAUUGGACAAUGGGCGAAAGCCUGAUCCAGCCAUGCCGCGUGUGUGAAGAAGGUCUUCGGAUUGUAAAGCACUUUAAGUUGGGAGGAAGGGCUGUAAGUUAAUACCUUGCUGUUUUGACGUUACCAACAGAAUAAGCACCGGCUAACUUCGUG
This 484-nucleotide ribosomal RNA is filed under the name uncultured bacterium. Its description in RNAcentral is "partial 16S ribosomal RNA". It matches the Rfam family "Bacterial small subunit ribosomal RNA", at positions 30 to 507 of the family's 1533-position model. The record is from RNAcentral.